UACAGUAGGCUUGACUUCUCUUUGGUAGU
This 29-nucleotide non-coding RNA is filed under the name Mus musculus (house mouse). The record is from RNAcentral. Lineage: Eukaryota; Metazoa; Chordata; Mammalia; Rodentia; Muridae.